Molecule: long non-coding RNA, 1219 nt
Organism: Apteryx haastii (Great spotted kiwi)
Lineage: Eukaryota; Metazoa; Chordata; Aves; Apterygiformes; Apterygidae
Source: Ensembl
AAGGCACGAAGCGAUUUGGGAGGCGGCGAAGGCACACGGCGCUUUGCUAGGCGCCGAAGGCAUGCAGCGCUUCCUUCGUUUGCGAGGCAGCGAAGAGAUGGAGCGGUUUGCUUGUUGGCCAGGCAGUGAACAGGCGCUGUGCUUUGCUUUCUGCCAGUCAGCGAAUACAUGCAGCGGUCUGCUUUUCUGCGAGGCACUGAACACAUGCAGUGUUUAGUUUGCGAGGCAGCGAAGAGAUGCAGCACUUUGCUUGUCCACCAGGUGGCGCAGCUGCAUCGCGGUUGCUUUUUCGCGCAGAAGCGAACAGACGCAGCACUUUGCGAGGCAGCGAACACAUGCAGUAGUUUCCUUGUUUGUGAGGCACUGAACAGAACAGCGAAGCAACGAACAGACACAGCGGUUUGCUUGUUCACGAGGCGGCAAAGACAUGCAGCGGUUAGUUAUUUUGCCAGCCAGCGAACAAACGCAGCAGUUUGCUUGAUUGCUAGGCAGUGAAGAGAUGCAGCGGUUUUCUUGUUUGCAAGGCAUCGAAUAGAUGCAGCGCUUAAUUAGCUUGUGAGGUUGCGAGGAGGUGCUGCGCCUUGCUUGCUCGCACGGAAUCGAAGAGGCGCAGUGGUCUGCUUGUUUUCAAGGCAGUGAAGAGACGCAGCUGUUUGCUCUUUUGCGAGGCAGCAAAGACAUGCAGCGGUUAGUUAGCUUGUGAGGCAGCGAASAGAYGCAGCAGUGUGCUUGUUUGCAAGGCAGUGAACACAAGCAGCAGUUAGUUCGCGAGGCAGCGAAGAGGCGCAGCAGUGUGCUUGUUCGUGAGGUGGCGAACAGAUGCAGUGGUUAAUUAGUUUGCGAUGCAGCGAAGAGGCGCAGUCGUAAUUACGCUGCAAGGCAGUGAAGAGAUGCAGUUGUAAGUGAGUUUGCGAGGCAGCGAAGAGACGCAGCAGUUUGCUUGUUUGCGAGGUAUUGAAGAGACACAGCGGUUUGCUUGUUCGGAAAGCGGUGGACAGAUUCUGUGGACUGCUUGUUCACGAGGCAGUGAAGAGAUGCAGCGGUUAGUUCAUGAGUCAUGGAAGAGAGGCAGCGGUUUGCUUGUUUGCGUGGCAGCGAAGAGACGCAGUGGUUUGCUUUUUCGGAAAGCGGUGGACAGAUUCUGCGGAAUGCUCAUUCACAAUGCAUCAAAAAGAUGCGAGGCAUCUGCUAUGCUUCAGCCGAUCGGUGCCGCCUGAGA